CUACGGGACGCACCAGUUAAGAAUAAUCUACAAUGCGCGAAAGCGUGAUAGUUUGAGCCAGAGUGCUUUUCUAUUGAAAAGCUUUUGUCAAAUGUAAAAAGUUUGACGAAUAAGGACUGGGUAAGACUAGUGCCAGCCGCCGCGGUAAUACUAGCGGUCCAAGUCGCAGCCAUUUUUAUUGGGUCUAAAACAUCCGUAGCUUGCUUAAUAAGUUUCUUGUGAAAUUUUAUGUCUCAAGCAUGAGGCUAGCAAGAAGUACUGUUAAGCUAGAGACUGGAAGACGUAAGAAGUAUGUUCAAAGUAGCGGUUAAAUGUGUUAAUCUUGAACAGACUAACAAUUAGCGAAGGCAUCUUACGAGAACAGUUCUGACAGUAAGGGAUGAAGGCUAGGGUCGCGAAAGGGAUUAGAUACCCCAGUAGUC
Molecule: ribosomal RNA, 422 nt
Filed under: uncultured archaeon
Lineage: Archaea
Description: partial 16S ribosomal RNA
Rfam family: Archaeal small subunit ribosomal RNA
Source: RNAcentral